GACGAACGCUGGCGGCGUGCCUAAUACAUGCAAGUUGAGCGAUGAAGAUUGGUGCUUGCCCCAAUUUGAAGAGCAGCGAACGGGUGAGUAACGCGUGGGGAAUCUGCCUUUGAGCGGGGGACAACAUUUGGAAACGAAUGCUAAUACCGCAUAACAACUUUAAACAUAAGUUUUAAGUUUGAAAGAUGCAAUUGCAUCACUCAAAGAUGAUCCCGCGUUGUAUUAGCUAGUUGGUGAGGUAAAGGCUCACCAAGGCGAUGAUACAUAGCCGACCUGAGAGGGUGAUCGGCCACAUUGGGACUGAGACACGGCCCAAACUCCUACGGGAGGCAGCAGUAGGGAAUCUUCGGCAAUGGACGAAAGUCUGGCCGAGCAACGCCGCGUGAGUGAAGAAGGGUUUCGGAUCGUAAAACUCUGUUGGUAGAGAAGAACGUUGGUGAGAGUGGAAAGCUCAUCAAGUGACGGUAACUACCCAGAAAGGGACGGCUAACUACGUG
RNAcentral lists this ribosomal RNA (497 nucleotides) under uncultured bacterium. Its description in RNAcentral is "partial 16S ribosomal RNA". It matches the Rfam family "Bacterial small subunit ribosomal RNA", at positions 28 to 507 of the family's 1533-position model. The record is from RNAcentral.